UGUUUGGCUCGCUACCCUUUCACUCGUGACGUAACCCCAGCCGCCUCCUCCCACUCCCACUCCCAAUCCCUCUCCCCAUCCACCAAACCCUAAAUCUCAUACUCUCCUCUGGCCUCGCCCCCGAUACCACCACCACUGACAUCGCCGUCCUCCACCGCGAGGGCUUCAAGACCGAUUGUGUCGUGCGGCGGCUCUGAGACACGGACUCAUCGGUGCGAUCCGCGUGCGUGAGUUCCAUCACGGCAUUGUCGCGCCACGUCAACUAGCAGUCGUUAGGUUCGUUCGUGAAGCCGUUGGCAGAGGCGUUGUUCACGGAGCAGGACCAGAACGCGCAGGCCGGCACGGCGCUGUGUCUCGCCGGCACGAUUGACGGAGCUCCAGAUCCCUGCUUGGUGGUGUUGCUGAGCAGUCCCGAUUGGUCAACGCGAAAGGCCACGACGGAGGCUCUCGUGGUUGUUGCCAAUGUGGAGAGGGAGUUCCUGCUGGAGUUCAAGGCUGAGUGUAUGAAGAAUAUCUUCACGUGAUACUGGAAAGACAAUGGUAGAUGCCUCUUUAGGUGAAAUAAUGACAACAUGUGAGAAGAUAAAUUGGCUACUAUCAGAGGGUGGAAGAGCAAUGCUUCAUAAAAGAGCCAGAGUAGAAUUUCACCCUCUGGGUGUUAUCGGUGCCAUUGUGUGAUGGAACUAUCCUUUCCACAAUAUUUUUAACCCUAUGUUGGCAGCAGUUUUUUCUGGAAAUGGCAUUGUGAUUAAGAUUUCAGAAAAUGCAAGUUGUUGUAGGUGCUUUUACUUCCGUAUAAUCCAAUCAGCUCUUGCUGCCAUAGGAGCUCCAGAAGACCUUGUUGAGGUUAUGACAGGGUUUGCUAAAACAGGAGAAGCACUGGUAACUUCUGCUGACAAAGUCAUUUUUGUAGGAUCGUUGGGUUGGUAAGAUGGUACGAUCCUUUGGCCUACCAAAUUGCAAGGAUUGACUUCAUGGGCAAAGCCAGAAAAAUGCUAUCAAUAGGGCAAAGCAGAAAUACAUUGAAUGCAUGGGUCCUACAAACUUUUCAAGGAUUCGUGCAAAAUUACAAGAAAAGAAGAAUGGAGAUGAUGUUUCUCAAGUAGUGAAUCUGCUGAACAAGCUUUUCAAUCAAUCUUUGGCAAAGAAAAACCCGGUAGAGUUCGAUGUUUGGGAAGACUUGAUAAUGAAGAUCAACCGUAUGAUGAUGAAGAGACUGAAUGAUGUUUUUUUACAUGGAUGGAUGACUAGCUAUGUAUAAUAUUCCUAGAUGACACUUUAUUUUGAAAUUUAGAAGUUUUAUAUAAACUUUGACAUCUUUGGAUGAUUUUAUUUGGAGUUUUAUGCUUUUGAAUUGUCAUAUACUUGGAACUAAUUAAUGCAAGUCAAUUUUACA
This is a non-coding RNA of Cajanus cajan (pigeon pea), 1396 nucleotides long. The record is from RefSeq and is a predicted model, not a curated record. NCBI's taxonomy places the organism in Eukaryota, Viridiplantae, Streptophyta, Magnoliopsida, Fabales, Fabaceae.